GCGUCUGAAACUGUUCUUUGUACUAUGCACUGCGAUAGAAACACAGUUGCCUCUCCCCUUUCAGCAGUUUUCAUUUGUGGUGAGAUUCUCUCCCAGGACACAAGACAUUUCCUCCUCUGAACCUUAUUUACUAAUUGGCUGGGCUCUCGUCCUUGUUUGCUGUGCACCAUCUGGAGCCUGCAUCACGCAUGGCCUCAGCCAGCCGAGAAGCAGAGAGCGUGGUGACGGGGCCGCUAGUGAGCUCCUCCUAUGUACCAGGUCCCGAGCUAAGAUUUUGAGAAACCUCGGUGAACUUGGCCCACAAAAUUCCCUGCCUUUGUGGAGCUUACCCUCAGUGUUGGGGAUUUGGGACUUACUUUUCCCAAAGCCAAGCUAAUUACUGUAAAAGGGAAACAAACGCCCGGUGAGCCUGGGCGCCCGGAGCGACAGAGUGGCAGGUGCCCGGGAGGCAGCGGCGCCAGCCCUGCCCAGCGCUGCGGCUCCUGGUGCCUGCAGGUGGGGCUGGGCUCCGAGACCGCGCGCCCGCUGCCCGGUUCACGCCGAGUCCCCAGCGGCGCGCCGCCCGGGCAGGUCUGGUCCCAGCAGAGGAGACCCAGGGGUCCCAGAGCGGCUCUGGCGGGAGACGUAGUGCGGGGGCUGGUGAUCGAAGAGCCCCAAGCGCAGCUGCCGCUCACAGUCCCCUUCUCGAGUGCAGAGCGGGCGGAGAAGUCCACUGCUUUUAAGACCCAGCACUGAAAAUGCAAUCUCAGGCGCCGGUGGUCGUUGUGACCCAACCUGGAGUCGGUCUGGCACCCCAGAACUCCAACUGGCAGACAAGCAUGUGUGACUGCUUCAGCGACUGCGGAGUCUGUCUCUGUGGCACGUUUUGUUUCCCAUGCCUUGGGUGUCAAGUUGCAGCUGAUAUGAACGAAUGCUGUCUGUGUGGAACGAGCGUCGCAAUGAGGACUCUCUACAGGACCCGAUAUGGCAUCCCUGGAUCUAUUUGUGAUGACUAUAUGGUAACCCUUUGCUGUCCUCAUUGUUCUCUUUGCCAAAUCAAGAGAGAUAUCAACAGAAGGAGAGCCAUGCGUGCUUUCUAAAAACUGAUGGUGAAAAGCUCUUACCGAAGCAACAAAAAUCAGCAGACACCUCUUCAGCUUGAGUUCUUCACCAUCUUUUGCAACUGAAAUAUGAUGGAUAUGUUUAAGUACAACUGAUGGCAUGGAAAAACUCAAAUUUUUGAUUUAUUAUAAAUGAAUGUUGUCCCUGAGCUUAGCUAAAUGGUGCAACUUAGUUUCUCCUUGCUUUCAUAUUAUCAAAUUUCCUGGCUUAUAAACUUUUAAAAUUACAUUUGAAAUAUAAACCAAAUAAAAGAUUUUACUGACAAGA
This is a non-coding RNA of Chlorocebus sabaeus (green monkey), 1368 nucleotides long. The record is from RefSeq and is a predicted model, not a curated record. Lineage: Eukaryota; Metazoa; Chordata; Mammalia; Primates; Cercopithecidae.